GUCUUUUUAUAGUCCAUAGCACAGUGAUUGGAUUUUCUUGUGCACAUGUGAAGUAUACUGCCCUCAAACCUUGUUAAUGUCUGCAUGUUGCCUGUCUGACA
This is a small nucleolar RNA of Sapajus apella (tufted capuchin), 101 nucleotides long. RefSeq annotates it as small nucleolar RNA U13. The transcript has a single exon. The record is from RefSeq and is a predicted model, not a curated record. Lineage: Eukaryota; Metazoa; Chordata; Mammalia; Primates; Cebidae.